RNAcentral lists this ribosomal RNA (250 nucleotides) under uncultured prokaryote. RNAcentral's name for it is "partial 16S ribosomal RNA". It matches the Rfam family "Bacterial small subunit ribosomal RNA", at positions 524 to 773 of the family's 1533-position model. The record is from RNAcentral.
UACAGAGGUCCCGAGCGUUGUUCGGAUUUACUGGGCGUAAAGGGCGCGUAGGCGGCCGUGCGUGUCGGAUGUGAAAUCUCCGGGCUCAACCCGGAAAGUGCGUCCGAAACUGCAUGGCUAGAGUGCGGGAGGGGGAAUCGGAAUGCAAGGUGUAGCGGUGAAAUGCGUUGAUAUCUUGCAGAACACCGGAAGCGAAGGCGGAUUCCUGGAACGCAACUGACGCUCAGGCGCGAAAGCUAGGGGAGCAAAC